AGUUUGAUCUGGCUCAGGACGAACGCUGGCGGCGUGCCUUAAUACAUGCAAGUCGAACGAACUCUGGUAUUGAUGGAUGCUUGCAUCAUGAUUUACAUUUGAGUGAGUGGCGAACUGGUGAGUAACACGUGGGAAACCUGCCCAGAAGCGGGGGAUAACACCUGGAAACAGAUGCUAAUACCGCAUAACAACUUGGACCGCAUGGUCUGAGUUUGAAAGAUGGCUUCGGCUAUCACUUUUGGAUGGUCCCGCGGCGUAUUAGCUAGAUGGUGGGGUAACGGCUCACCAUGGCAAUGAUACGUAGCCGACCUGAGAGGGUAAUCGGCCACAUUGGGACUGAGACACGGCCCAAACUCCUACGGGAGGCAGCAGUAGGGAAUCUUCCACAAUGGACGAAAGUCUGAUGGAGCAACGCCGCGUGAGUGAAGAAGGGUUUCGGCUCGUAAAACUCUGUUGUUAAAGAAGAACAUAUCUGAGAGUAACUGUUCAGGUAUUGACGGUAUUUAACCAGAAAGCCACGGCUAACUACGUGCCAGCAGCCGCGGUAAUACGUAGGUGGCAAGCGUUGUCCGGAUUUAUUGGGCGUAAAGCGAGCGCAGGCGGUUUUUUAAGUCUGAUGUGAAAGCCUUCGGCUCAACCGAAGAAGUGCAUCGGAAACUGGGAAACUUGAGUGCAGAAGAGGACAGUGGAACUCCAUGUGUAGCGGUGAAAUGCGUAGAUAUAUGGAAGAACACCAGUGGCGAAGGCGGCUGUCUGGUCUGUAACUGACGCUGAGGCUCGAAAGUAUGGGUAGCAAACAGGAUUAGAUACCCUGGUAGUCCAUACCGUAAACGAUGAAUGCUAAGUGUUGGAGGGUUUCCGCCCUUCAGUGCUGCAGCUAACGCAUUAAGCAUCCGC
RNAcentral lists this ribosomal RNA (897 nucleotides) under Lactiplantibacillus plantarum. Its description in RNAcentral is "bacterial SSU rRNA". It matches the Rfam family "Bacterial small subunit ribosomal RNA", at positions 10 to 872 of the family's 1533-position model. The record is from RNAcentral. Lineage: Bacteria; Bacillati; Bacillota; Bacilli; Lactobacillales; Lactobacillaceae.